Molecule: small RNA, 114 nt
Filed under: Mytilus galloprovincialis (Mediterranean mussel)
Lineage: Eukaryota; Metazoa; Mollusca; Bivalvia; Mytilida; Mytilidae
Source: RNAcentral
GUCGGUUAUGGAGAUGUUUAUCCUGUCGGUCCAUUAGGGAGAGUAGUGGGAGUUUUGUGUAGUUUAUGUGGAUUACUAGUGUUGGCUAUGCCAAUAGCUAUCAUUGCGGGUAAU